RNAcentral lists this ribosomal RNA (271 nucleotides) under uncultured bacterium. RNAcentral describes it as "partial 16S ribosomal RNA". It matches the Rfam family "Bacterial small subunit ribosomal RNA", at positions 524 to 794 of the family's 1533-position model. The record is from RNAcentral.
UACGUAGGUGGCGAGCGUUGUCCGGAAUUACUGGGUGUGAAGGGCGUGUAGGCGGGAUCUUAAGUCAGAUGUGAAAUACCCAAGCUUAACUUGGGUCGUGCAUUUGAAACUGAGGUUCUUGAGUGGUGGAGAGGAAAGCGGAAUUCCUAGUGUAGCGGUGAAAUGCGUAGAUAUUAGGAGGAACACCAGUGGCGAAGGCGGCUUUCUGGACACUAACUGACGCUGAGACGCGAAAGCUAGGGGAGCAAACAGGAUUAGAUACCCGAGUAGU